CAAGCACGACGUUACAGAUGAACCCAGCCCAGAUGCCUAUUUUCCUCUUCACUUAAAGCUUGGAGACAUAACAACACCGUAUGUUACAAGGCUUUUGCUGAGGGUAUGAGAGCACGUGCCUCAGCCGUGCUUACCUCAUUUGGAGAAUUCCUGCUGCCAGCCAAAUGUGACACUAAAAUUACUUCUCUGUAAUGAGCUUAAAGUAAAAAGUUGCAGACAGAAGCUGGCACAAAGAGAAGAGGUGUAGGAAGCCAUAAGCUUUUAUUUUUGUCUUGUAAUUAUGUCAAUAAAGUAGCUUAAGUGAGGAAAUUGUCAUUUUCCUCCCUCUUUGGAUGAUGAUGUUAAAAUUGCCCAGCUUGGAUGUGCGUUGACUUACGGAGAAAAAAAAAAAAAGCAAAAUACAAAAAGCAAAAUCAGAUUCCAGAAAGCUUUUUUUUUUUCUAUUUGUAAAAUAACAAACUGAUCCUCUAAACUGUUUUUGAUGCAGCUGUUCACUCUCUACAUAAUCAGUAACUAUUUCUAUGCCAUCUCUGUCUUUUCAUAUUAUUUUCAGUAUUUGAUGAAUAAAUCAUAAGACUCCCUGUCUCUACCUAUGCUAUUUGUAAUUUAAAGUGAUUUUGUGUGAGCCCCUUAUUCUAUCACUGUGUUAGCCCAGUUUCUGAUUAAUAGAAAACAGCCACAACAAUUUCAAUUUUCUCCCUGCUGCAAAAGAGCAACAGACCAAUUCCAGACUGAACCUAUGUAAGUUUCUUGCCUGGCUUCAGACGUGAUCAGGAAUUAGCUGCCUAUAUAGUGCACAGGGAAGGUUCAGAAAUGAUUUUAAAAGUAGCUUGUACUCAGCAAAUGGAGCUAUUUAGAUGGAGCAACUUGGGCAUGCACUGCACAGAUACGUGUCAAAAAUCCCAUCCUUGGCUUCAUCAGCAGGUUUAGGGGUUCCAAUAGGCAUCUUCAUCCCUGGGGAAAUCAGAGACAGGCAUAUUCUGAUCACCAGGACAGAUCAUCAGGCCUCUUGUAUAAAUUGGAAGCUACCAGUAAGGGGUGAGCAUAGAGGGAAAAAAAAAAUAAUAUGCUGGUGGUGAUCACUUCCCAUGAGAACCCCCCCCCCCUCCAUAGCAGUGAUACUGACAAGGUGUAGAGCUGUGAGUGAAAGCCGGACUGCAGAGGGAAAGCCCUCAGAUUUACACAGGUUAAGGCACUUAGGGUACCGAGCAACAAUUUAGUGAGAAGCCAAAAUGUGAUGGUCGGUGUUAGGAGCUCUGGUACCCUCUUGGUUAAGAGGCACCCUCAAAUACUGGGUAUAGGAAGCCUGACGGAUUUUGUGGGCAAUGCAGAAGCAAUGUGUAGAGAGAGCAUGUGAGGUGUUUAAUAAACACAGCAAAAUGGAGCA
This 1387-nucleotide long non-coding RNA is filed under the name Anas platyrhynchos platyrhynchos (common mallard). RNAcentral's name for it is "lncRNA (ENSAPLG00000027767.1)". The record is from RNAcentral. Lineage: Eukaryota; Metazoa; Chordata; Aves; Anseriformes; Anatidae.